RNAcentral lists this ribosomal RNA (449 nucleotides) under uncultured bacterium. RNAcentral describes it as "partial 16S ribosomal RNA". It matches the Rfam family "Bacterial small subunit ribosomal RNA", at positions 329 to 795 of the family's 1533-position model. The record is from RNAcentral.
AGCCAGACUCCUACGGGAGGCAGCAGUGGGGAAUAUUGCACAAUGGGGGAAACCCUGAUGCAGCGACGCCGCGUGAGCGAUGAAGUAUUUCGGUAUGUAAAGCUCUAUCAGCAGGGAAGAAGAUGACGGUACCUGACUAAGAAGCCCCGGCUAACUACGUGCCAGCAGCCGCGGUAAUACGUAGGGGGCAAGCGUUAUCCGGAUUUACUGGGUGUAAAGGGAGCGUAGACGGCGAUGCAAGCCAGAUGUGAAAGCCCGGGGCUCAACCCCGGGACUGCAUUUGGAACUGUGUGGCUGGAGUGUCGGAGAGGCAGGCGGAAUUCCUAGUGUAGCGGUGAAAUGCGUAGAUAUUAGGAGGAACACCAGUGGCGAAGGCGGCCUGCUGGACGAUGACUGACGUUGAGGCUCGAAAGUGUGGGGAGCAAACAGGAUUAGAUACCCGAGUAUCC